CCCUUAGAUGUUCUGGCCGCACGCGCGCUACACUGACGAAGUCAGCGAGCAUGUCCUACGCCGACAGGUGCGGGGAAUCUUGUCAAACUUCGUCGUGAUGGGGAUUGAUUAUUGAAAUUCUUGAUCAUCAACGAGGAAUUCCUAGUAAGCGCAAGUCAGCAGCUUGCGUUGAUUACGUCCCUGCCCUUUGUACACACCGCCCGUCGCUACUACCGAUUGAAUGGUUUAGUGAGAUCUUCGGAUUGGCGCCACUGCGGCUCAGCAAUGGGCUCGGUGGAUGCCGAAAAGUUGAUCAAACUUGAUCAUUUAGAGGAAGUAAAAGUCGUAACA
This 330-nucleotide ribosomal RNA is filed under the name uncultured eukaryote. Its description in RNAcentral is "partial 18S ribosomal RNA". It matches the Rfam family "Eukaryotic small subunit ribosomal RNA", at positions 1470 to 1796 of the family's 1831-position model. The record is from RNAcentral.